AACGUGCUCUGGGUCCACAGGCUUACCAUCUGAGUCCUUCUGAUUGGGAUUGGGUACCAGGCGGCAGUUAUCAGGACCAGGAGGCACAUAAUCUGGGAUGCCAUCAUUGUCAUCAUCCCCAUCACACUCAUCUCCAAGUCCAUCGUUAUCAGAGUCCAGCUGGGAGCUAUUUGGCAGCUGUGGGCAGUUGUCCUUGGUGUCCUGAUGCCCAUCCCCAUCGCUAAUCAGAAGAACAGUCCACACUCUGCCUAACGCUACGCCCUACCUCACAUUCCUAUUGACAUCUGCUGCAGGUAAUCUCUCCUCACCCAGGCCAACGUCCACAAGCCUGCCUCCCUACUUCACAGAGACUUCCUAGCUUCCCUGCUUCAUCCCCACCUGAUCCAAAUUCUCACAGGUCCCCCAGCCACCCCUUCAGCCCCAGGCCUGCACCAUCCCCAUCCACGUCGUUGUCACAGGCAUCUCCUUCCCCAUUGCCAUCUGUGUCCUUCUGGUCAUUGUUGGGAACGUUGGGGCAAUUGUCACAGGCAUCACCAAAUGAAUCUGUAUCUGAGUUCUGC
This 560-nucleotide long non-coding RNA is filed under the name Pan troglodytes (chimpanzee). RNAcentral describes it as "long non-coding RNA NONPTRT000492". The record is from RNAcentral. Lineage: Eukaryota; Metazoa; Chordata; Mammalia; Primates; Hominidae.